RNAcentral lists this unclassified non-coding RNA (343 nucleotides) under soil metagenome. Its description in RNAcentral is "partial contains 5.8S ribosomal RNA, internal transcribed spacer 2, and large subunit ribosomal RNA". The stretch from base 1 to 120 matches the Rfam family "5.8S ribosomal RNA", at positions 35 to 154 of the family's 154-position model. The record is from RNAcentral.
GAUGAAGAACGUAGCGAAAUGCGAUAAGUAAUGUGAAUUGCAGAAUCCAGUGAAUCAUCGAAUCUUUGAACGCACAUUGCGCCCGCCAGCAUUCUGGCGGGCAUGCCUGUUCGAGCGUCAUUUCAACCCUCGACCUCCCCUUGGGGAGGUCGGCGUUGGGGACCGGCAGCACACCGCCGGCCCUGAAAUGGAGUGGCGGCCCGUCUGCGGCGACCUCUGCGUAGUAAUACAGCUCGCACCGGAACCCCGACGCGGCCACGCCGUAAAACACCCAACUUCUGAACGUUGACCUCGAAUCAGGUAGGACUACCCGCUGAACUUAAGAAUAUCAAUAAGCGGAGGA